ACUAGUUAAGAAGCACAAAAGUCUGUACAUUGAACAUUUACCUAGUUCCAAUUAUCUACUCCACACUAUGAUCAAUGUAUUGGUUUGAUCUGUCUUCGGAGGUGACCCUCAGGAAAGUGCUGAGCAAGUACAUAACUGAGACUUGAAACACAAGAAUGCAUUGGGGAGUGUGAGACAAACAUAAAGAGAUGAUCACAAGAUUGCCAAAAAAAAAAAAAGAGUAGGAAUAUGACAUUAAAAGAAAAAAAAAGAAGAAGAACAAUUUCCAUCGGCC
This 274-nucleotide long non-coding RNA is filed under the name Musa acuminata (dwarf banana). RNAcentral describes it as "long non-coding RNA (MACU_LNC011635)". The record is from RNAcentral. Lineage: Eukaryota; Viridiplantae; Streptophyta; Magnoliopsida; Zingiberales; Musaceae.